This 29-nucleotide non-coding RNA is filed under the name Homo sapiens (human). Lineage: Eukaryota; Metazoa; Chordata; Mammalia; Primates; Hominidae. The record is from RNAcentral.
UCUCAGUGUUCUGGUGGGACGAUAUUGGU